This 482-nucleotide ribosomal RNA is filed under the name uncultured bacterium. Its description in RNAcentral is "bacterial SSU rRNA". It matches the Rfam family "Bacterial small subunit ribosomal RNA", at positions 29 to 506 of the family's 1533-position model. The record is from RNAcentral.
UUGAACGCUGGCGGAAUGCUUUACACAUGCAAGUCGAGCGGCAGCGCGGGGGCAACCCUGGCGGCGAGCGGCGAACGGGUGAGUAAUACAUCGGAACGUACCCAGUUGUGGGGGAUAGCCCGGCGAAAGCCGGAUUAAUACCGCAUACGCCCUGAGGGGGAAAGCGGGGGACCUUCGGGCCUCGCGCGAUUGGAGCGGCUGAUGUCGGAUUAGCUAGUUGGUGGGGUAAAGGCCUACCAAGGCGACGAUCCGUAGCUGGUCUGAGAGGAUGAUCAGCCACACUGGGACUGAGACACGGCCCAGACUCCUACGGGAGGCAGCAGUGGGGAAUUUUGGACAAUGGGGGCAACCCUGAUCCAGCCAUGCCGCGUGAGUGAAGAAGGCCUUCGGGUUGUAAAGCUCUUUCAGACGGAAAGAAAUCGGGUGCGUGAAUAGCGCGCCUGGAUGACGGUACUGUCAGAAGAAGCACCGGCUAACUACGU